RNAcentral lists this ribosomal RNA (948 nucleotides) under Pseudoalteromonas phenolica. Its description in RNAcentral is "bacterial SSU rRNA". It matches the Rfam family "Bacterial small subunit ribosomal RNA", at positions 57 to 1003 of the family's 1533-position model. Lineage: Bacteria; Pseudomonadati; Pseudomonadota; Gammaproteobacteria; Alteromonadales; Pseudoalteromonadaceae. The record is from RNAcentral.
GCAAGUCGAGCGGUAACAUUUCUAGCUUGCUAGAAGAUGACGAGCGGCGGACGGGUGAGUAAUGCUUGGGAAUAUGCCUUAGGGUGGGGGACAACAGUUGGAAACGACUGCUAAUACCGCAUAACGUCUACGGACCAAAGGGGGCUUCGGCUCUCGCCCUUAGAUUAGCCCAAGUGGGAUUAGCUAGUUGGUGAGGUAAUGGCUCACCAAGGCGACGAUCCCUAGCUGGUUUGAGAGGAUGAUCAGCCACACUGGAACUGAGACACGGUCCAGACUCCUACGGGAGGCAGCAGUGGGGAAUAUUGCACAAUGGGCGCAAGCCUGAUGCAGCCAUGCCGCGUGUGUGAAGAAGGCCUUAGGGUUGUAAAGCACUUUCAGUAAGGAGGAAAGGUUAGUAGUUAAUACCUGCUAGCUGUGACGUUACUUACAGAAGAAGCACCGGCUAACUCCGUGCCAGCAGCCGCGGUAAUACGGAGGGUGCGAGCGUUAAUCGGAAUUACUGGGCGUAAAGCGUACGCAGGCGGUUUGUUAAGCGAGAUGUGAAAGCCCCGGGCUCAACCUGGGAACUGCAUUUCGAACUGGCAAACUAGAGUAUGAUAGAGGGUGGUAGAAUUUCAGGUGUAGCGGUGAAAUGCGUAGAGAUCUGAAGGAAUACCGAUGGCGAAGGCAGCCACCUGGGUCAAUACUGACGCUCAUGUACGAAAGCGUGGGGAGCAAACGGGAUUAGAUACCCCGGUAGUCCACGCCGUAAACGAUGUCUACUAGGAGCUGGGGUCUUCGGACAACUUUUCCAAAGCUAACGCAUUAAGUAGACCGCCUGGGGAGUACGGCCGCAAGGUUAAAACUCAAAUGAAUUGACGGGGGCCCGCACAAGCGGUGGAGCAUGUGGUUUAAUUCGAUGCAACGCGAAGAACCUUACCUACACUUGACAUACAGAGAACUUACCAG